CGCGGAUCCGUGGGGCACGCGGAUCCGUGGGGCGCGUGGGCGUGGGGGGCGGGCUCAGGGAUCUGUGGGGCGCGUGGAUCACGGGGGCACCUGGGUCUACAGGGUGCAGAUCUAUGGGGCGCACAUCUAUGGGGCGCGCGGAUCUGUGGGGCGCCCGGAUGUACGGGGGAGCCGCUCGCGCCGAGGACGCCGCAGCCGCUGCCCGGAGCCCGCGGGCGGCCGGUAGGUGUGGGGCAGGGGCCGCGCCGUGGGGCGCCGUGGGGCAGCAAGCCCCGCCCCUCACCCCGCCCCCCUCCCUCUCUUCUCUUGCAGCCCCGCCCCCCCGAAGGCAAGCCCCGCCCCCUUUCCCUUUGAACCCCGCCCCUUUCCCUCCGAGCCACGCCCGCCCCCUCCAAACCCCGCCUCCUCCCUCUCGAGCCCCGCCCCUUGUUUUGACCCCUCCUUUUCAAGCCCCGCCCCUGUCUUUAAGCCCCUCCCUUUUCUCUAAGCCCCUCCCUUUUCCACAGCCCCGCCCCUUUCUCAAGCCCCGCCCCCUUUCUCCGCGUUUUACAGAUAAAGACAAAAGGCCAACGGCA
Oxyura jamaicensis (ruddy duck) is the source of this 575-nucleotide long non-coding RNA. RefSeq lists it as uncharacterized. Lineage: Eukaryota; Metazoa; Chordata; Aves; Anseriformes; Anatidae. The record is from RefSeq and is a predicted model, not a curated record. The transcript is spliced from 2 exons.